Molecule: long non-coding RNA, 574 nt
Filed under: Moschus moschiferus (Siberian musk deer)
Lineage: Eukaryota; Metazoa; Chordata; Mammalia; Artiodactyla; Moschidae
Description: lncRNA (ENSMMSG00000016334.1)
Source: RNAcentral
GCCCCUCUCAACAGUUAGAAACUGAGGCGUCCUAGCCCCUAGACCUCACGGGUCCAGGUCCCCAGCCCUCUUUCCUGCAGAGCCCAGCCCUGUGGGUCCCCACCCCCACCCGGUUUCAGGCUAGUCUGAGAAGGCGGUUUCCUCAUCUCCAAGCAGCUUGCCCACCUUCUGGCCCGAGAUGGGGAAAUGACCCAACUGCCUGUGAGGACACUGUGUGUAGACAUCCUCAUUUUCACCCCGCGAGAACAGUGAGGAAGAGAAGAGAAUGUGAAGAGCCAGAGCCCGAGACCUGAGAAGAUCCAAGGCCACAGUGGACACAGACCCGAAGGCCUCUGAGUCCCCCAGGAUCUAGGAGGACCAGGAAAAGCAGUGGCUCCCUGGAGGGUGGAGGACACAGGACGAGAUUCGACGGCUCUGCUGUAUGACUGCACUGUUAGCAGAAUUAUGUUAGUUAGUAGAUUCAUGUCACUGUAUGGCAAAACCAAUACAAUAAUGUAAAGUAAUCAGCCUCCAAUUAAAAUAAAUAAUUAAAAGAGAAAAAUCAUGGCUAGGUUCUAAAAAAAAAAAGAAGUCA